UACAUGGGGUGCAAACGUUGCUCGGAAUUAUUGGGCGUAAAGCGCGCGUAGGCGGUUACUUAAGUCGGAUGUGAAAGCCCUCGGCUUAACUGAGGAAGUGCAUCCGAAACUGAGUAGUUAGAGUACGAAAGAGGGUCGCGGAAUUCCCGGUGUAGAGGUGAAAUUCGUAGAUAUCGGGAGGAACACCGGUGGCGAAGGCGGCGACCUGGGUCGAUACUGACGCUGAGGUGCGAAAGCGUGGGGAGCAAACAGG
This 253-nucleotide ribosomal RNA is filed under the name uncultured bacterium. RNAcentral describes it as "partial 16S ribosomal RNA". It matches the Rfam family "Bacterial small subunit ribosomal RNA", at positions 524 to 776 of the family's 1533-position model. The record is from RNAcentral.